GGGGUUAUAGCUCAGUGGCAGAGUGUGUGCCUAGCAUGCAUGAAGUCUUGGGUUCAAUCCCCAGUACCUUCA
RNAcentral lists this transfer RNA (72 nucleotides) under Camelus bactrianus (Bactrian camel). It matches the Rfam family "tRNA". From Rfam's summary of the family: Transfer RNA (tRNA) molecules are approximately 80 nucleotides in length. Their secondary structure includes four short double-helical elements and three loops (D, anti-codon, and T loops). RNAcentral also lists the same sequence under 2 other names. The record is from Rfam by way of RNAcentral. Lineage: Eukaryota; Metazoa; Chordata; Mammalia; Artiodactyla; Camelidae.